UGAGGAAUAUUGCACAAUGGGCGCAAGCCCGAUGCAGCAACGCCGCGUGGGCGAUGAAGGCCUUCGGGUCGUAAAGCCCUUUUUGAGGGGAUGAGGAAGGACAGUACCCUCAGAAUAAGCCUCGGCUAACUACGUGCCAGCAGCCGCGGUAAAACGUAGGAGGCGAGCGUUAUCCGGAUUUCCUGGGCGUAAAGCGCGUGCAGGCGGAUUGGAGAGUUGGAUGUGAAAGCUCCCGGCUUAACUGGGAGAGGUCGUUCAAUACUUCCACGCCUGAGUGCAGUAGAGGUAAGUGGAAUUCCGGGUGUAGUGGUGCAAUGCGUAGAUAUCCGGAGGAACACCAGUGGCGAAAGCGGCUUCCUGGACUGUAACUGACUCU
This 376-nucleotide ribosomal RNA is filed under the name uncultured bacterium. RNAcentral describes it as "bacterial SSU rRNA". It matches the Rfam family "Bacterial small subunit ribosomal RNA", at positions 355 to 747 of the family's 1533-position model. The record is from RNAcentral.